GCCAGCAUGGCAUAGGGGUUUGUGUGUUGGACUAUGACUCUGGAGACCGGAGUUCGAUUCUCAGUUCGGCCA
Non-coding RNA from Phrynosoma platyrhinos (Desert horned lizard), 72 nucleotides. The record is from the annotation of a GenBank genome assembly. Lineage: Eukaryota; Metazoa; Chordata; Lepidosauria; Squamata; Phrynosomatidae.